GAUGAACGCUGGCGGCGUGCCUAAUACAUGCAAGUCGAGCGAACAGACGAGGAGCUUGCUCCUCUGACGUUAGCGGCGGACGGGUGAGUAACACGUGGAUAACCUACCUAUAAGACUGGGAUAACUUCGGGAAACCGGAGCUAAUACCGGAUAAUAUAUUGAACCGCAUGGUUCAAUAGUGAAAGACGGUUUUGCUGUCACUUAUAGAUGGAUCCGCGCCGCAUUAGCUAGUUGGUAAGGUAACGGCUUACCAAGGCAACGAUGCGUAGCCGACCUGAGAGGGUGAUCGGCCACACUGGAACUGAGACACGGUCCAGACUCCUACGGGAGGCAGCAGUAGGGAAUCUUCCGCGAUGGGCGAAAGCUUGACGGAGCAACGCCGCGUGAGUGAUGAAGGUCUUCGGAUCGUAAAACUCUGUUAUUAGGGAAGACCAAAUGUGUAAGUAACUAUGCACGUCUUGACGGUACCUAAUCAGAAAGCCACGGCUAACUACGUG
RNAcentral lists this ribosomal RNA (497 nucleotides) under uncultured bacterium. Its description in RNAcentral is "partial 16S ribosomal RNA". It matches the Rfam family "Bacterial small subunit ribosomal RNA", at positions 28 to 507 of the family's 1533-position model. The record is from RNAcentral.